This 2192-nucleotide long non-coding RNA is filed under the name Astyanax mexicanus (Mexican tetra). Its description in RNAcentral is "lncRNA (ENSAMXG00005024062.1)". Lineage: Eukaryota; Metazoa; Chordata; Actinopteri; Characiformes; Acestrorhamphidae. The record is from RNAcentral.
AUGGCCGAGAGCGAAACACACGGAGCAGCUACUCAGGAGAAGAUGAAAUAUUCAUGGCUUCAAAGCAGAUGGCUUUGUGAAGAGGCCAGACCAGCAUUUUGGGGACGUUUGAAUAAACAUGAAGGUCUUGCAAGAGAAAGAAGUGGAACACAGAUGGACACGCAGUUUCAUCCCUGCAAUGGAUGCCCUGGUCAAAAAGCCCAAAGGGAAUUUUGUCUCCAAAGCGAUGCUGUUUGCAGCCAAAGCUCUGUCUCCUCUCUACCUCCUCUCCUGAUGGAGCUGCAGUCUACAGGAGCAUCCCCCCAGCAAGUGCCCUUGACGUCUACACAAAGCCCAUCCAAUCCUGCUGUGGAUCCCUCGAGCCUCCAAGUUGUAGCAGACUCUUCCAGGCCUCUUCAUGAACAGACCAUCCCAGCAGGAAGUCAUCCAGUGUUCCCAGGACAGCAUAUGUUCGGUCAGCAGCACCACACCUCAGAGCUGGACGGCAGUCCGCUGCUCCACGACCCUGUCUCCACGGGGGCCGCUGGGCGUCCCGGAUGUUCAGGGGACCCCCGGGGGCCCCUCUGCUCUCCACAGAGAAACCUGGGCUUACCCAGCCUGAACAGUAGCCACCCUGCGCCCUUGUGUGUCCCAGGAGAAGCAUCACUGCAGCCGGUGCCAUCUGUCAUUGCACAGCAUCAGCCAUGUGAUACCGAGCCUUUCCAUCCAGACCAAGCCCUCUCUCUUCUACAAACUCCACCUGUUCUCCACCCUAAUCCAGAGCAGAGCAGCCAAUCAUCUUUAAGCCCUGUGCAAGCCCCUCCUUCUGCCUGGCUACCUUCUGUCAGUGUCGAAUCACAGAGCAGCCCUCUGAGCCGACCUGCCCCUAUUUGCUGUGCGGUCAUCAAGCCCAGAAUGGUCCAGAUUUCUCCUAACGUUAGCCAUGUUCUGAGUGAUCGCCCAGUUUUGGCCCACAACAGCUCCUUCAUUAACGUGGCCCGUCCCACGCCCACUCCUGCCGCGCAAGUCCGGCCCAUUGCCAGAGCCGUUGCCACGGGGAUGCCCGGCGCUGCUAGGCAGCAGGCGAGUGCCAGGGCCGGAGUGUGUGCCAGGGCCGUGCCGGAGCCAGUGCUAGCGGGGAAGAGUCGGGGUCAGGAGGUCAAGGAGGAGCCCCAGUCUCCUCUUAGCUCACUCUCCAAGGAAGAGAGGGAGGAGGAAGAGGAGGAGGAGGCCAUUAAGGGGGACACAGACUCUCUCUGCCAGCACCAGACUGACAAUGACAGUAAAGAUGGUGUUCCAGCUUGGUACAGACUACAGCUGGAGAAGCAGAAGCAUCUGAGGCAAAAGCUCAUUGGUCAGAAGGAGGAGAGGAGGCAACUACAGGCUGAGUACAGAAAGAAACAAAGGCAGGACAAGCUCAAGAAUGCUCUCCAAAACCAUGACCAGAAGCCACAGGAUGGUAGACAGGCCCAGAAUAUCAAGAAACCUUCCCAGAAGCCCCCAGCCUCAAACAUACUACCUCUACUCAGACCUCCACCUAAACCAGGCUACCCUCCAGCAGCACCCUUAGCCCAGUGUCCCGCUGCUGCUCCUGCUGCCCUAGUUGAGCGGGCUGCACCGAGGCAUGGCAACCCGUUUCCUUGGCAUGGUUUUCACGGGCGUGGUGAUGAAGGAUCUGGAGUGUUUUCAGGAGUGCCGGGAGAAAGACAUGGCAGGAGGAGGAGGAGGAAGUGGAUGGCAGGGAAGAGAGUGAUGAAAGAGCUGCCAUCUAAAGUGAAGAUGGUUAAACACAGCAAUAUGGAGAAGGAUGAGGAUGAAAUGAACAUGCGGUUUCCAGCCCAGGUCAGUGAAGGCUCUAGGGUGGUUACCUUCACUCAGAUCCCCUGCUUUGGACCACACACACUCAGACAGGUGUGCCCAAACCUCAGGAGAUAAGCUGUCAGCUACCAGCAACAUGACAAGGUUCGCCUAUGUAGUAAGAAGAGGACCAGCCACUGAUCUAACCAGCACCAAGGCACAAAGAUGGGACACCUAAAACUGUUGGACUUUACUCAACAUUAGGACUUAAAUUUGAUAAUUUAAUAAUUGCACUUCAAACCAAAAAGAACCUUAAUAAUAUAUUUAUGGUAUUUAGUAAUGCAGGAUUUCUUAGUUUAGCAAAAAAAAUUUAGGCUCAAAAUAAAGCCUGACCAAUAGAAAAGCUAAAUGAGACA